UUGGGGUGUCGCCAAGCGGUAAGGCAACGGGUUUUGAUCCCGUCAUGCGUAGGUUCGAAUCCUACCACCCCAGCCAU
RNAcentral lists this transfer RNA (77 nucleotides) under SAR86 cluster bacterium SAR86A. Its description in RNAcentral is "tRNA-Gln". It matches the Rfam family "tRNA". Rfam says of the family: Transfer RNA (tRNA) molecules are approximately 80 nucleotides in length. Their secondary structure includes four short double-helical elements and three loops (D, anti-codon, and T loops). The record is from RNAcentral. Lineage: Bacteria; Pseudomonadati; Pseudomonadota; Gammaproteobacteria.